Molecule: ribosomal RNA, 557 nt
Filed under: uncultured bacterium
Lineage: Bacteria
Description: bacterial SSU rRNA
Rfam family: Bacterial small subunit ribosomal RNA
Source: RNAcentral
ACGGGUGCGUAACGCGUGGGAAUCUGCCCUUUGGUUCGGAAUAACAGCUGGAAACGGCUGCUAAUACCGGAUGAUGACGAAAGUCCAAAGAUUUAUCGCCAGAGGAUGAGCCCGCGUUGGAUUAGGUAGUUGGUGGGGUAAAGGCCUACCAAGCCGACGAUCCAUAGCUGGUCUGAGAGGAUGAUCAGCCACACUGGGACUGAGACACGGCCCAGACUCCUACGGGAGGCAGCAGUGGGGAAUAUUGGACAAUGGGCGAAAGCCUGAUCCAGCAAUGCCGCGUGAGUGAUGAAGGCCCUAGGGUUGUAAAGCUCUUUUACCCGGGAAGAUAAUGACUGUACCGGGAGAAUAAGCCCCGGCUAACUCCGUGCCAGCAGCCGCGGUAAUACGGAGGGGGCUAGCGUUGUUCGGAAUUACUGGGCGUAAAGCGCACGUAGGCGGCUUUGUAAGUCAGAGGUGAAAGCCUGGAGCUCAACUCCAGAACUGCCUUUGAGACUGCAUCGCUUGAAUCCAGGAGAGGCCAGUGGAAUUCCGAGUGUAGAGGUGAAAUUCGUAGA